RNAcentral lists this ribosomal RNA (497 nucleotides) under uncultured bacterium. RNAcentral's name for it is "partial 16S ribosomal RNA". It matches the Rfam family "Bacterial small subunit ribosomal RNA", at positions 28 to 507 of the family's 1533-position model. The record is from RNAcentral.
GAUGAACGCUGGCGGCGUGCCUAAUACAUGCAAGUCGAGCGAACGGACGAGAAGCUUGCUUUUCUGAUGUUAGCGGCGGACGGGUGAGUAACACGUGGAUAACCUACCUAUAAGACUGGGAUAACUUCGGGAAACCGGAGCUAAUACCGGAUAAUAUUUUGAACCGCAUGGUUCAAAAGUGAAAGACGGUCUUGCUGUCACCUAUAGAUGGAUCCGCGCUGCAUUAGCUAGUUGGUAAGGUAACGGCUUACCAAGGCAACGAUGCAUAGCCGACCUGAGAGGGUGAUCGGCCACACUGGAGCUGAGACACGGUCCAGACUCCUACGGGAGGCAGCAGUAGGGAAUCUUCCGCAAUGGGCGAAAGCCUGACGGAGCAACGCCGCGUGAGUGAUGAAGGUCUUCGGAUCGUAAAACUCUGUUAUUAGGGAAGAACAUAUGUGUAAGUAACUGUGCACAUCUUGACGGUACCUAAUCAGAAAGCCACGGCUAACUACGUG